GACAAAACCGCAGCAAAGGUAACAGG
RNAcentral lists this non-coding RNA (26 nucleotides) under Mus musculus (house mouse). Lineage: Eukaryota; Metazoa; Chordata; Mammalia; Rodentia; Muridae. The record is from RNAcentral.